Molecule: non-coding RNA, 98 nt
Organism: Paramuricea clavata
Lineage: Eukaryota; Metazoa; Cnidaria; Anthozoa; Malacalcyonacea; Plexauridae
Source: the annotation of a GenBank genome assembly
GAGUCAGUCAGAAACGCAUGAAGAGAAGAUUUCAAACACGAGUUAAAACUCGUGUUUGAAAUCUUCUCUUCAUGCGUUUCUGACUGAAACGCGUGUUU